CGAACGAGAAAGUGGAGCAUCCAUGAGUACAGUGGCGUACGGGUGAGUAACACGUGGGUAAUCUGCCUCUUAGUGUGGAAUAACCCUGGGAAACCGGGGCUAAUACCGCAUAAGCUCGAGAGAGGAAAGCAGCAAUGCGCUGAGAGAGGAGCCCGCGGCCGAUUAGCUAGUUGGCAGGGUAAACGCCUACCAAGGCAAAGAUCGGUAGCCGGCCUGAGAGGGCACACGGCCACACUGGCACUGAAACACGGGCCAGACUCCUACGGGAGGCAGCAGUGGGGAAUCUUGCACAAUGGGGGAAACCCUGAUGCAGCGACGCCGCGUGAGCGAUGAAGCCCUUCGGGGUGUAAAGCUCUUUCGGCAGGGACGAUCAUGACGGUACCUGCAGAAGCAGCUGCGGCUAACUACGUGCCAGCAGCCGCGGUAAUACGUAGGCAGCGAGCGUUGUUCGGAGUUACUGGGCGUAAAGGGUGUGUAGGCGGUUGCUUAAGUUUGGUGUGAAAUCUCCCGGCUCAACUGGGAGGGUGCGCCGAAUACUGAGUGACUCGAGUGCGGGAGAGGAGAGUGGAAUUCCUGGUGUAGCGGUGAAAUGCGUAGAUAUCAGGAGGAACACCGGCGGUGUAGACGGCUCUCUGGACCGUAACUGACGCUGAGACACGAAAGCGUGGGUAGCAAACAGGAUUAGAUACCCUGGUAGUCCACGCCCUAAACGAUGCAUAUUUGGUGUGGGUCAUUCAGUUGAUCCGUGCCGGAGCUAACGCGUUAAAUAUG
This 771-nucleotide ribosomal RNA is filed under the name uncultured bacterium. Its description in RNAcentral is "bacterial SSU rRNA". It matches the Rfam family "Bacterial small subunit ribosomal RNA", at positions 63 to 868 of the family's 1533-position model. The record is from RNAcentral.